Molecule: ribosomal RNA, 1327 nt
Filed under: metagenome
Description: bacterial LSU rRNA
Rfam family: Bacterial large subunit ribosomal RNA
Source: RNAcentral
UGAGUACGAGCUGCUACGGCAGCGAAGUGGGUGACGUCAAGCUUCCAAGAAAAGCCCUACACCCGUUAAGGCAUGAUGGCCUGUACCCGAAACCGACACAGGUGGGGUGGUAGAGAAUACCGAGGGGCGCGAGGUAACUCUCUCUAAGGAACUCGGCAAAAUGGCCCCGUAACUUCGGGAGAAGGGGUGCCACCGCAAGGUGGUCGCAGUGAAGAGGCCCAGGCGACUGUUUACCAAAAACAGGUCUCCGCUAAGUCGCAAGACGAUGUAUGGGGGCUGACGCCUGCCCAGUGCCGGAAGGUUAAGGAAGCUGGUCAGCGCAAGCGAAGCUGGCGACUGAAGCCCCGGUGAACGGCGGCCGUAACUAUAACGGUCCUAAGGUAGCGAAAUUCCUUGUCGGGUAAGUUCCGACCCGCACGAAAGGCGUAACGAUCUGGGCGCUGUCUCGGAGAGAGGCUCGGCGAAAUAGAAUUGUCUGUGAAGAUGCGGACUACGUGCACCCGGACAGAAAGACCCUAUGAAGCUUUACUGUGGCUUGGUAUUGUGCCCGGGCUCUGAAUGCGCAGGAUAGGUGGGAGGCUUUGAUCCAUUGCUUGUGGGUGAUGGUGAGCCAACGGUGAGAUACCACUCUUUCAGAGCUAGGGUUCUAACGGUCACCCGUUAUCCGGGGACCGGACAGUAUCAGGUGGGCAGUUUGACUGGGGCGGUCGCCUCCUAAAAGGUAACGGAGACGCGCAAAGGUUCCCUCAGGCUGGUUGGAAAUCAGCCGAUGAGUGUAAAGGCAGAAGGGAGCUUGACUGUGAGACCUACAAGUCGAACAGGGACGAAAGUCGGCCUUAGUGAUCCGACGGUUCUGAGUGGAAGGGCCGUCGCUCAACGGAUAAAAGUUACUCUAGGAUAACAGGCUGAUCUCCCCCAAGAGUUCACAUCGACGGGGAGGUUUGGCACCUCGAUGUCGGCUCAUCGCAACCUGGGGCUGAAGUCGGUCCCAAGGGUUGGGCUGUUCGCCCAUUAAAGCGGUACGCGAGCUGGGUUCAGAACGUCGUGAGACAGUUCGGUCCAUAUCCGGUGCAUGCGCAGGAAUAUUGAGAGGAUUUCUCCCUAGUACGAGAGGACCGGGAGGAACGCACCUCUGGUGUACCAGUUAUCGUGCCAACGGUAAACGCUGGGUAGCCAUGUGCGGAGUGGAUAACCGCUGAAAGCAUCUAAGUGGGAAGCCCACCUCAAGAUGAGUAUUCCCAUGGCGUUAGCCAGUAAGGUCACGGGCAGAACACCCGUUGAUAGGCUCUACGUGGAAGCCGGGUAACCGGUGAAGCGGAGGAGUACU